CAGGCUCUAGGGUGGGGGGGACAGACCCUGGGAAGGGGGGACAGUCCCCACAGUGGGGGGCCAGGCCCCACGGUGAGGGGGCCAUGCAUCAGUACAGGCCCCAGGUUUGGGGGGACAGGGCCCAGGGUGGGGGGACAGGCUCUGGAGUAGGGGGGGACAGGGCCCGCAGUGGGGGGGACCGGCCCCAGGGUGGGGGGACGCCCCCCAGUGCAGGCUGUGGGGUGAAGGGGGGACACCCCGAUGGCAGCAGUCCCCUCCUCAGCCCCCCAGGCCGGGCCCUGCACCUGCUCCAGGGUUUUUUUCCCCCAAAAGCGCCUUAUUCCGCCCCAAAAAAACGCGGAUCCGCCAGCACCUCACCGACCUCAGCAGCGCUUUUCGCGCCAAAACCCCAAUUUUCCCCAUUUUUUGGCUGCCGGCAAGUGGACGCAGACACGAGAGAAGAUCCCGGGGUGUUUUGGGAUGAGGGUGAUGCUUCCCAUCACCAAGACCAUCCUCUAGAAGAUGGUUCACCAUCAGCUUUUGGCUUGAAGCUGGAGAAUGGACAUUAUUCCCUAAAUCCCAGGAUAUUUUGGGAUGAAGGAGAUGCCUCCCACCCCUCUAAGAGAUGGUUCACCAACAGCUUUUGCCUUGAAGCUGGAGAAUGGACAUUAUUUCCCAAAUUUCAAGGUAUUUUGGGAUGAAAGAGAUGCCUCCCACCAGCAAGACCAUCCUCUAGGAGAUAGUUCACCAUCAGCUUUUGCCUUGAAGCUGGAGAAUGGACAUUAUUUCCCAAAUUUCAAGGUAUUUUGGGAUGAAGGAGAUGCCUCCCAUCCCCAAGACCACUCCACAGGAGCUGGUUGACCGACAGCUUUUGGCUUGAAGCUGGAGAAUGGACAUUAUUCCCUAAAUCCCAGGGGAUUUUGGAAUGAGGAUGAUGCUUCCCAUCAUCAAGACCACCACACAGGAGGUGGUUCACCAACAUCUUUUGGCUUGAAGCUGGAAAAUGGACAUUAUUCCCUAAAUCCCAGGACAUUUUGGGAUGAAGGAGAUGCCUCCCAUCCCCAAGACCACCCUCUAAGAGAUGGUUCACCAUCAGCUUUUGCCCUGAAGCUGGAAAAUGGACUUAUUUCCCAAAUUUCAAGGUAUGUUGGGAUGAAGGAGAUGUCUCCCAACACCAAGACCACCCCACAGUAGGUGUUUCACCACCAUCUUUUGGCUUGAAGCUGGAAAAUGGACAUUAUUCCCUAAAUCCCAGGACAUUUUGGGAUGAAGGAGAUGCCUCCCAUCCCCAAGACCACCCCACAGGAGGUGGUUCACUAACAGCUUUUGGCUUGAAGCUGGAAAACUGAUAUUUUGGGAUGAAGGAGAUGCCUUCCAACAUCAAGACCACCCCACAGGAGGUGGUUCACCAACAGCUUUUGGCUUGAAGCUGGAAAACUGAUAUUUUGGGCUGAAGGAGAUGCCUCCCAACAUCAAGACCACCCCAUAGCAGGCGGUUCACCGAGAGCUUUUGCCUUGAAGCUGGAAAAUGGACAUUAUUUCCCCAAUUUCAAGGUAUUUUGGGCUGAAGGAGAUGCCUCCCAUCCCCAAGACCACCCCUUUUCGUCGGCGGUUUUGUUCACUCACCCAGUUCGCAGCCACCCGAGCUCUCCUUGAGGCUGUCUUUCUUGGCCAUGGUGUCUCCGUUGCUCUCCCGGGGCG
Long non-coding RNA from Calidris pygmaea (Spoon-billed sandpiper), 1680 nucleotides. The record is from Ensembl. Lineage: Eukaryota; Metazoa; Chordata; Aves; Charadriiformes; Scolopacidae.